CCUACGGGUGGCAGCAGUGAGGAAUAUUGGUCAAUGGGCGAAAGCCUGAACCAGCCAAGUCGCGUGAGGGAUGACGGUCCUAUGGAUUGUAAACCUCUUUUGUCGGGGAGCAAGGCCCGCCACGUGUGGCGGGAAGGAGAGUACCCGAAGAAAAAGCAUGGGCUAACUCCGUGCCAGAAGCCGCGGUAAUACGGAGGAUGCGAGGUUUAUCCGGAUUUAUUGGGUUUAAAGGGUGCGUAGGCGGUAGGUUAAGUCAGCGGUAAAGUGUCGGUGUCCAACACCGGCCUGCCGUUGAAACUGGUCUUCUUGAGUGAGCGAGAGGUAUGCGGAAUGCGUGGUGUAGCGGUGAAAUGCAUAGAUAUCACGCAGAACUCCGAUUGCGAAGGCAGCAUACCGGCGCUCAACUGACGCUGAUGCACGAAAGCGUGGGGAUCGAACAGGAUUAGAUACCCGGGUAGUC
RNAcentral lists this ribosomal RNA (460 nucleotides) under uncultured bacterium. RNAcentral describes it as "partial 16S ribosomal RNA". It matches the Rfam family "Bacterial small subunit ribosomal RNA", at positions 338 to 795 of the family's 1533-position model. The record is from RNAcentral.